Molecule: ribosomal RNA, 253 nt
Filed under: uncultured bacterium
Lineage: Bacteria
Description: partial 16S ribosomal RNA
Rfam family: Bacterial small subunit ribosomal RNA
Source: RNAcentral
UACGAAGGGGGCUAGCGUUGCUCGGAAUUACUGGGCGUAAAGGGCGCGUAGGCGGCCUUGUCAGUCGGACGUGAAAUUCCUGGGCUCAACCUGGGGACUGCGUUCGAUACGGCGAGGCUAGAGGACGGAAGAGGCUCGUGGAAUUCCCAGUGUAGAGGUGAAAUUCGUAGAUAUUGGAAAGAAAACCGGUGGCGAAGGCGGCGAGCUGGUUCGUUACUGACGCUGAGACGCGACAGUGUGGGGAGCAAACAGG